This 145-nucleotide non-coding RNA is filed under the name Schistosoma mansoni. The record is from RNAcentral. Lineage: Eukaryota; Metazoa; Platyhelminthes; Trematoda; Strigeidida; Schistosomatidae.
GCACAUGGGGUGCUGCUACCUUGACGUGGUGGUCGGGCUUGCCUAUCGCGAUGAACCAGUCGAGCUAUACUGGCCGGAAGAAUCGCUCCUCAAGGUCCUACCAUGCCAGACAGGUCGGUUGAAGAGUGGUAAGGCUAAAAGCAGC